AAGUCGUAACAAGGUUUCCGUAGGUGAACCUGCGGAAGGAUCAUUAACACGUAUCCAACGUUAAACCCCCCGUGAACUUUUAUUGCGAACCACGCCUUUGUUAGAAAGUAGCAAUCCCUGGUAAAUCAUCGCCGAACAGUUUUGAUUCAGGGAUCUCUGCGAAGAGAGCGGUUGUAGCGCGAGGUAAGUGGCCUGGCAUUCCUCUGCUUGUUAGUGUCUGACAGUGUCACUAGCUCUGUACGAAUGGCGCAGUCACGAUCGCUAGAGGCCGACCUAUCACCUUUGCAUGAAAACGGGCCUGCGCUUAAUUGUGCGGCCACCAAACUCGAACAACUGUUAACAAUGGAUAUCUUGGUUCUC
RNAcentral lists this unclassified non-coding RNA (360 nucleotides) under fungal sp. Its description in RNAcentral is "partial internal transcribed spacer region". The stretch from base 1 to 46 matches the Rfam family "Eukaryotic small subunit ribosomal RNA", at positions 1786 to 1831 of the family's 1831-position model. The record is from RNAcentral. Lineage: Eukaryota; Fungi.